Phaeosphaeriaceae sp. PMI808 is the source of this 71-nucleotide non-coding RNA. The record is from the annotation of a GenBank genome assembly. NCBI's taxonomy places the organism in Eukaryota, Fungi, Ascomycota, Dothideomycetes, Pleosporales, Phaeosphaeriaceae.
GCAUCCUUGGUCCAAGGGUAGGAUAAUUGCCUUCCAAGCAAUUGGUUCGGGUUCGAGUCCCGGAGGAUGCA